Mirounga angustirostris (Northern elephant seal) is the source of this 1957-nucleotide long non-coding RNA. RefSeq lists it as uncharacterized. The transcript has 6 exons. NCBI's taxonomy places the organism in Eukaryota, Metazoa, Chordata, Mammalia, Carnivora, Phocidae. The record is from RefSeq and is a predicted model, not a curated record.
AUCUACAGCUUCUCUGUACCAACAACUUCCACUCAGUGCAUACGUGAAGCCUUUCCUUAUUUCCACUAUGCAGCUUUCUCACUCUUAGGCCUGUCUUUGAGACUGACAAAAUGCCAGUCAUACUGGCUGACUCCCUUGCUGUAUAGCAAGAUCAAGAAAAGCCUCUGCUUUUUCCUUUGGUUGGUCUUUAUUUCCAUGUUGCAAAUUGGAGAACAAGAAGUCUGAGGAAGAGGUAUGGGUCUCUCAAAAAGCUAAUUCCUCAGAUGUGCUCCUGAAGAUAGUGCUAACAGAUGGAACUGAGCUAUCAACACCAAGUGACAACAAUGUCUGAUCUUAUUUUAUAUCCUCAAAUUAUACAAAAGAAGAGAAAGCAGAGAACAAAAAAGUGAUUUCACUUUAAGAACGAAACCCAUGGCUAAAAAUAACUUGAAAUUCAUCGAUUUUGUACAAAUCCUUUACUUUACAGGCAUGCAUGUGCAAAAUGUUGCUAAUUAUAUACCUCAAAAUGGAACUGAUGUCUCAGAGGAUAUAUAAAUCUCAAACAAAAAAGCGUUCUCCUAAGAAGCCGAAGGAGAGAAAGGUUUAUUGGCUGGACUCUGGCCCAGCACUUGCUCGCUCAGUAAAAGAAGAAAUGGAGGAUGCCUUAUAACCAGAGUCAAGAGUAAAAAAUCCCUUCCCACCAACACUUGGAGUCUUACAUGAAACUGGAGACAAACAUCCCCCUUUCUCUUCUUUCAUGUUUCAUGUUACUUACUUUUACUAAUAUAAUUCAGGUACCAUAUCUCCUAAAUCUCAUGUUUAUCCUAUGUAUUAACCUCAUAGGUCUAAAGAGCAAAGUAUAAAAUUCAAGUUGUUUAAUAAUAUUCAUUUGUCAUAAGAACCAACAAUUGGAUGAACAGUCCACAACACAGUAGAGUAGAUAACAGAGAGAAAACUCUUGGACAGCAAGCUCCAGGGCUGUAAUCAAAGAGGACAUCCUCCAACAGCCCACAGGGACUAUGAUUCCAGACCAUUUCCUAUGGAAAAAGAUUCAGAAGGAGUAAAUAAGAAGGCAAGCUGCUAAAACCACUGGACAACAGACACAAUGAAACUGUAGAACAAUAACUGUGGCCUUAGAACCAGGCAGAGGCUGAGUUAUUGGGACCAUGUUUUCUGUCUCCAGUAAUAUGCCAGAUAUCAGCUGGGCCACCAUGAUUUUGCCAGUAAAAUGGACAUAAUGUAAGAAUCUGGAGGGUUGUAGUGAAGAUGAAAUAGGUUGAAAUAAGAUUAAAUGCCAUGUAAUCAGUGGAUACUGCCUGUUUCUUAUCCUUAUUUUGUAUCUAAACACAUAGUAGGAUCUUAGUUAAUACUUGGGAAAUAAGUGCCAUCAUUUCAAAUAUAUUCACUGAACCUCACUGUGACAUCUUUUUUUCUUUUUAUAAUCUACACACAAUUUAGCAACAUACACAGCAGGUAUUGUACAAUUAGUUACAUUUUCUGGCUUCAUACAUUUUAUAAAUGUGAUUGCCACCAUUCCACCCACCACUACCGCCACUGGGUUCCUUAGUGUUAUUCUUGUCAUCUUGUUAGUAAGAGAAUAUAGUGGACAAGCAAGAGGGAGUUUAAAAGGGCAUUUUUUUUUUUUCCAAAGGAAGAGAGGCUGGAGGAGAUGGAUUUAAAUAAAAUUGACUCAUAUGCAUGCCCUUGUGUUUUGUUUAAUAAUCCUUUGACAUAUGACUUACAUGAAACAAAAUUACGCUGUACUAAAAUGUGUUUACAGCUAUGAAGGGAGCAAAUGUGUCUGGAAGUAGUGUAAUAAUUUUAGAAGUGAAGGGAGUUAAUGACUAAAGAACAUGUUUGGUUUUCUUUGUAUCAUAAGGAAAUUUCAGGGCCCUUAAAAAAAUGUGACUGACCAUUUGAGCCAUUUAAAAUCACAUGGACUUUUAGAUUAAAAAAAUAUAGAAGGAAUAAGAUAUAU